RNAcentral lists this ribosomal RNA (380 nucleotides) under uncultured eukaryote. RNAcentral's name for it is "partial 18S ribosomal RNA". It matches the Rfam family "Eukaryotic small subunit ribosomal RNA", at positions 592 to 976 of the family's 1831-position model. The record is from RNAcentral.
CAAUAGCGUAUAUUAAAGUUGUUGCGGUUAAAAAGCUCGUAGUUGGAUUUCUGCUGAGAACGACCGGUCCGCCCUCUGGGUGUGUAUCUGGCUCUUUCUUGGCAUCUUCUUGGUGAACGUUGCUGCACUUGACUGUGCGGAGCGCUACCCAGGACUUUUACUUUGAGGAAAUUAGAGUGUUUCAAGCAGGCAUACGCCUUGAAUACAUUAGCAUGGAAUAAUAAGAUAGGACCUCGGUUCUAUUUUGUUGGUUUCUAGAGCUGAGGUAAUGAUUAAUAGGGAUAGUUGGGGGCAUUCGUAUUUAACUGUCAGAGGUGAAAUUCUUGGAUUUGCUAAAGACGGACUACUGCGAAAGCAUUUGCCAAGGAUGUUUUCAUUGA